Molecule: long non-coding RNA, 345 nt
Filed under: Bos taurus (domestic cattle)
Lineage: Eukaryota; Metazoa; Chordata; Mammalia; Artiodactyla; Bovidae
Description: long non-coding RNA NONBTAT016822
Source: RNAcentral
GCUUGCUCGUCCUCGUGUCUUUCAUGGAUUGUUUUCAGAUUAUCUAACGUUUCCUGCUGAUUCAAGCUCUUUGCAAGAGUAAAGAGUAAAACCAGGUGAAAUGAUGUUGCAUCAAGAACAUUCUAAAAAGAGGUUCACCAAGCUAUUGAUUUGAAACAAAAAGAGAAACGGAGAGUUCUCCUUGAGAAAAGUCAUUUUAGUGGCACAGGGGAGAAAGUGACUAAAUUGGGAGCCUUUCCUAAUCCUAGUGAGAGUUUAGCACAAAUGACACAAAAAUUCUACCAUUUUCACAGUGAAUACUGUUUUAAUUUAGCUAUUCCUGCCCCCAACCCUUUUAACUAAAAC